This 253-nucleotide ribosomal RNA is filed under the name uncultured bacterium. RNAcentral describes it as "partial 16S ribosomal RNA". It matches the Rfam family "Bacterial small subunit ribosomal RNA", at positions 524 to 776 of the family's 1533-position model. The record is from RNAcentral.
UACGAAGGGGGCUAGCGUUGCUCGGAAUUACUGGGCGUAAAGGGCGCGUAGGCGGCACGGACAGUCAGGCGUGAAAUUCCUGGGCUUAACCUGGGGGCUGCGCUUGAUACGUUCGAGCUAGAGGAUGGAAGAGGCUCGUGGAAUUCCCAGUGUAGAGGUGAAAUUCGUAGAUAUUGGGAAGAACACCGGUGGCGAAGGCGGCGAGCUGGUCCAUUACUGACGCUGAGGCGCGACAGCGUGGGGAGCAAACAGG